GUGGGUGUAGCUCAGUUGGUUAGAGCGCCGGUCUGUGGAACCGGAGGUCAUGGGUUCAAGUCCCAUUAUCCACCCCA
Molecule: transfer RNA, 77 nt
Filed under: bacterium
Lineage: Bacteria
Description: tRNA-His
Rfam family: tRNA
About the family: Transfer RNA (tRNA) molecules are approximately 80 nucleotides in length. Their secondary structure includes four short double-helical elements and three loops (D, anti-codon, and T loops).
Source: RNAcentral